Molecule: transfer-messenger RNA, 363 nt
Filed under: Salmonella enterica
Lineage: Bacteria; Pseudomonadati; Pseudomonadota; Gammaproteobacteria; Enterobacterales; Enterobacteriaceae
Rfam family: transfer-messenger RNA
About the family: Bacterial tmRNA, also known as 10Sa RNA or SsrA, is named for its dual tRNA and mRNA-like properties. Its role is to liberate the mRNA from a stalled ribosome.
Source: RNAcentral
GGGGCUGAUUCUGGAUUCGACGGGAUUUGCGAAACCCAAGGUGCAUGCCGAGGGGCGGUUGGCCUCGUACAAAGCCGCAAAAAAAUAGUCGCAAACGACGAAACCUACGCUUUAGCAGCUUAAUAACCUGCUUAGAGCCCUCUCUCCCUAGCCUCCGCUCUUAGGACGGGGAUCAAGAGAGGUCAAACCCAAAAGAGAUCGCGCGGAUGCCCUGCCUGGGGUUGAAGCGUUAAAACGAAUCAGGCUAGUCUGGUAGUGGCGUGUCCGUCCGCAGGUGCCAGGCGAAUGUAAAGACUGACUAAGCAUGUAGUACCGAGGAUGUAGGAAUUUCGGACGCGGGUUCAACUCCCGCCAGCUCCACCA